RNAcentral lists this ribosomal RNA (396 nucleotides) under Klebsiella oxytoca. RNAcentral describes it as "partial 23S ribosomal RNA". It matches the Rfam family "Bacterial large subunit ribosomal RNA", at positions 1 to 427 of the family's 2925-position model. Lineage: Bacteria; Pseudomonadati; Pseudomonadota; Gammaproteobacteria; Enterobacterales; Enterobacteriaceae. The record is from RNAcentral.
GGGUUGUGAGGUUAAGCGACUAAGCGUACACGGUGGAUGCCCUGGCAGUCAGAGGCGAUGAAGGACGUGCUAAUCUGCGAAAAGCGUCGGUAAGGUGAUAUGAACCGUUAUAACCGGCGAUGUCCGAAUGGGGAAACCCAGUGCAAUUCGUUGCACUAUCGUUUGAUGAAUACAUAGUCAAAUGAGGCGAACCGGGGGAACUGAAACAUCUAAGUACCCCGAGGAAAAGAAAUCAACCGAGAUUCCCCCAGUAGCGGCGAGCGAACGGGGAGCAGCCCGGAGUCUGAAUCAGCUUGUGUGUUAGUGGAAGCGUCUGGAAAGUCGCAGGGUACAGGGUGAUACUCCCGUACACUAAAACACACAGGCUGUGAACUCGAAGAGUAGGGCGGGACACGU